UUUAUUAAUUUUCUUUUUUAACACGUUCGCUACCAACCGGCACAUAUAUGUGCCGGUAGGUCCAUCAAGAUAGACCACCAUUGUGUGAGUUGGGCACUUCUCACAGACCAGCUCAAAGUAGUGUGGUCAUUACCGUAGCCCAAGAGUACAACUUUGUUCAAAUCAAUUUAUAUAUCAUUUUAUAGCCUUAGGCAAACGUAUAACUUGAUUCCACAUCCCUUUUUUUUACGUUGUAUACAUUUUGGCUAGUGGCACAUAUAUGUGCCGGUCGGUCUGUAGCAAAAAAUUAGGCUUAGGCUAAACCUCAAAUAUAAACUUUUUCUAGUUGAAAGUCAAGUAAAAAUUGCCAUAACUGUGUUAGGACACAUUGGGAAAAUAAUAAAAACUAGUGUUGACAUGGUAGUUAUGUGUAUUGUACAAACUAAAACAAGAUCUUUGGAUAAACACUUUGGAAAUAGCAGAAUAUGUUAUUAAAAAAACUCACACAAAUAUCUCUUAUUUAUAACUCCAUUUAUGUAAUGAGCUACAUUUUAUCUUUGACAUAAAACAGUUAGGAAAUAAAAAUGUCUUAGGUAACACACAUUUUGUUUUAGUUUUUCACUUGUGAAAUUCAUUGAAACACUCUGGCAUGCAGAGUCCGAAUUUAUUGUCCUUUUCAUCUGUGCAGCUGGAACAUGUGAAGAAAGUUGUUUUCCGCUUUUUCUGUCUUAUUCUACAAACAUGACACCGUAGCCUCUUGUUCAAUUUGACUGGGUCAUGGCUUUUUUGACCUGAGACCUUGAACUGCACCAAGGAAGAAAAAGUGAACAUACCGAGAGACCAAGCGGCACAAAUAUGUGCCAGACAUCCCUGUAGACCGAUAUGAAAGAAUGAAGUCGAAAGAAUAGACCGAUCGUUACCACAGCCUUUUAUUUAAUAAUACUACACUGGCACAAAUAUGUGCCGUCGGUCCACUGGAACUGUACCGAGCGGCACAAAUAUGUGCCAUCGGUCUAUAAGAAUCAACUAGCCGGCACAUAUGUGUGCCAGCCGGUCCAUAUUAACGAAAAAGUUUUUACAUUUCGGUAGCGAAUGUGU
Homalodisca vitripennis (glassy-winged sharpshooter) is the source of this 1077-nucleotide long non-coding RNA. RefSeq lists it as uncharacterized. NCBI's taxonomy places the organism in Eukaryota, Metazoa, Arthropoda, Insecta, Hemiptera, Cicadellidae. The transcript has 3 exons. The record is from RefSeq and is a predicted model, not a curated record.